AUGCUCUGGCUGACCAGGAAAAGAAACUUCAGCUGGUCCUUCCUCUCCAGGUCCAUGGACGCACAUUUCUUUAUGCAUAACCCACUCUCCAGAGUGGGGACAACACGCGGCACAUGCACUGCAGUCACGAUGUGUGAACCGCCUGAAAGACAGUGGGGUGCUGCUCGAAGCCAUCUUCCUGGGAAGAUUUUAUUAAUUCCACAAAGCACUGGAAUUAUGUCGUUCACAAAAAAACUCAAUUUUUCCCAUUUCCCCCAUCUAAUAAUGAGAAAUGACAAGAGUAACUUCUAUUAGUCCAGACAAGAAAAGUAGGAAGAAAAAGAACAAAGUAAUGAAGGUUUAAUUUCUGUAAAUCACUCUUAAUAUAUGAUUUUUUUAAACACCCCACACAAACGCCCUGACUUUGAGCUUUUGGUGGAAAAACUGAUUUGGGGGGAAGCUCGACACCCAGCAGCAUGACAAGUACAAUAAUAAAUAGAUUAUCCAUAUCAGCUGAUAAGAAUUCAACUGCACGGCCAGACUGCAGCAGAUGUUUCCUUGUGCACCACAGUGCUAGAAAAAUGGACAAGGGACAUUUAAAAUUCAUUGCAGGGAGACUCUACAUUAUAAUGGAUCUCAUUAAUAUUAAUUAGGGCUUUUCCUCCCAAGCUACCAUGGUUGAU
RNAcentral lists this long non-coding RNA (662 nucleotides) under Fukomys damarensis (Damara mole-rat). RNAcentral's name for it is "lncRNA (ENSFDAG00000033251.1)". The record is from RNAcentral. Lineage: Eukaryota; Metazoa; Chordata; Mammalia; Rodentia; Bathyergidae.